This is a non-coding RNA of Paramuricea clavata, 1101 nucleotides long. NCBI's taxonomy places the organism in Eukaryota, Metazoa, Cnidaria, Anthozoa, Malacalcyonacea, Plexauridae. The record is from the annotation of a GenBank genome assembly.
CAGGCAUGUUCAAUGUUGGCAUAUGAUUUACGAAGAAAAACGUGAAAAUGAUUGAAGACUUGAUAUUAAAGCUCUGCUCACAGGCACAGGGUAUAUAACUAUUAACUCAACCACGAAGGAAAACAUUGAAAUGACAUAUAGUGUUGUAUAGUGUCGUAUACUCUUGUAUAUUAAACGUUGUAUAGUAUUGUUUAGUCUUGUAUAGUCUUGUAGUCGAGACUAUAGUGUAGUAUAGUGCUGUAUAGUCUUGCAUAGUGUCAUAGUCUUGUAUAACGUUGUAUAGUGUUGUAUAGUUUUAUAUAGUGUCGUAUAACCUUAUAUAUUGUUGCAUAGUCUUGUAUAACGUUGUAUAGUGUUGCACAGCGUUGUAUAUAGUGUCGUAUAUCCUUUAUAUAUUGUUAUAUAGUCUUGUAUAUAACGUUAUAUAGUGUUGUAUAGUAUCGUAUAUAGCCUUAUAUAUAUAUAUAUAUAUGUCGUAUAGUCUUGUAUAACGCUGUAUAGUGUCGUAUAGCCUUAUAUAGCGUUGUAUAGUUUUGUAUAACGUUGUAUAACGUUGUAUAGUGUUGUAUAGUGUUGUAUAGUCUUCUUUAGUGUAGUAUAGUGUCAUGUAUAAUCUUGUAUAGUGUCAUAAUUUUUAUAGUCUUGUAUAACGUUGUAUAGUGUUGUAGAGUGUCGUAUAACCUUAUAUAUUGUUGCAUACAGUAGUCUUGUAUAACGUUGUAUAGUGUUGUAUAGUGUCGUAUAGCCUUGUAUAUUAUUGUGUAGUGCCGUAUAGUCUCGUAUAGCCUUAUAUAGUGUCGUAUAGUCUUGUAUAACGCUGUAGUGUCGUAUAGUGUCGUAUAGCCUUAUAUAGUGUUGUAUAGUUUUGUAUAACGUUGUAGUGUCGUAUAGUCAUAUAUUAUUGUAUAGUGUCGUAUAGUGUUGUAUAAUGUCGUAUAUUCUUGUAUAAUUAACAUUGUAUAGUAUCGUAUAGCCUUAUAUAGUGUUGUAUAGUGUUGCAUAACGUACGUUGUGUAGUGUUGUAUAGUCUUCUUUAGGGUAGUAUAGUGUCACGUACAAUCUUGUAUAGUGUCAUAAUUUUUAUAGUCUUGUAUAACGUUG